Molecule: ribosomal RNA, 459 nt
Filed under: uncultured bacterium
Lineage: Bacteria
Description: partial 16S ribosomal RNA
Rfam family: Bacterial small subunit ribosomal RNA
Source: RNAcentral
CCUACGGGAGGCAGCAGUGAGGAAUAUUGGUCAAUGGGCGCGAGCCUGAACCAGCCAAGUCGCGUGAGGGAAGACGGUCCUAUGGAUUGUAAACCUCUUUUGUCGGGGAGCAAAAGACGCCACGCGUGGCGUUCCGAGAUUACCCGAAGAAAAAGCAUCGGCUAACUCCGUGCCAGCAGCCGCGGUAAUACGGGGGAUGCGAGCGUUAUCCGGAUUUAUUGGGUUUAAGGGGUGCGCAGGCGGAAGAUCAAGUCAGCGGUAAAAUUGAGGGGCUCAACCUCUUCGAGCCGUUGAAACUGGUUUUCUGGAGUGAGCGAGAGGUAUGCGGAAUGCGUGGGGUAGAGGUGAAAUGCAUAGAUAUCACGCAGAACUCCGAUUGCGAAGGCAGCAUACCGGCGCUCAACUGACGCUCAUGCACGAAAGUGUGGGUAUCGAACAGGAUUAGAUACCCGAGUAGUC